Non-coding RNA from Staphylotrichum longicolle, 78 nucleotides. NCBI's taxonomy places the organism in Eukaryota, Fungi, Ascomycota, Sordariomycetes, Sordariales, Chaetomiaceae. The record is from the annotation of a GenBank genome assembly.
GGUCCGCUGGCUCAAUGGCAGAGCGUCUGACUACGAUGAGUGAUCAGGAGGUUCCAGGUUCGACCCCUGGGUGGAUCG